Molecule: RNase P RNA, 230 nt
Filed under: Microbacterium sp.
Lineage: Bacteria; Bacillati; Actinomycetota; Actinomycetes; Micrococcales; Microbacteriaceae
Description: partial RNase P RNA component class A
Rfam family: Bacterial RNase P class A
About the family: Ribonuclease P (RNase P) is a ubiquitous endoribonuclease, found in archaea, bacteria and eukarya as well as chloroplasts and mitochondria.
Source: RNAcentral
UGGGUCGGCUGGACGGUCGCGUUGCGCAUGUCGCACCGAGGAACGUCCGGGCUCCACAGGGCAGGGCGGUGGGUAACACCCACCCGGAGUGAUCCGCGAGAAAGUGCCACAGAGAGCAGACCGCCGGGUGAUGCCCGGUAAGGGUGAAAGGGCGGUGUAAGAGACCACCGGGGUCGUGGUGACACGACCCGCACGGCAAACCUCGCCCGGAGCAAGGCCAGACAGGGGAU